Molecule: long non-coding RNA, 7298 nt
Organism: Manis javanica (Malayan pangolin)
Lineage: Eukaryota; Metazoa; Chordata; Mammalia; Pholidota; Manidae
Source: RefSeq, a predicted model, not a curated record
AAAAAUAUAUAUAUAUUGUUUAUCUGAAAUUCAAAUUUCCCUGAGCAUCCUGCAUUUUUAUGUAUUAAACCUAAUAUCCUUACUAAAAGAUGACUAGGUCCAGGCACUCUACUAAGAACUGAGCAUGGGACACAAAAUAGAUCCAAUCAUUGUCCUUGUGGCAUGUCCAAUGACUGAGGCAGGCAUUAAUGGAAAUACUGCCCAGGUGACUCUAACUAGUGUAUUGUGAUAAUUUCUUAGGGAGGAAAAGGACAGUGCUCAAUAGCAGGACCUAACCUGGGCUGGAGAACUAGUGAAAGUUCCCCAAGGAAAGGAUAUUUAGAGAUCUGAGGUUCAGGGAGGAUUUAAUUAAAUAAAUAGAAAGGGAAUGGGACUUUGGGGGGCAGAAAGGGCAAUAUUUGUGAAAUGAUUUUUAGGUAGGAGGAAUUAUGGGAAUUACGGUCUGCAGGGGAACAGGCAGCAGUGUUGCUGGACCUCAGAGAAGGGGAGAGAGAAAGAGAGGAGAGGCUGGAGGGGUGGGCAAGGGCCAGGACAAUCAGGGUCCUGCAGGUCGUGCUUAGCGCACCCAGCUUUGUUCUAGAUAAAUGCAAAGUCAUUGAGGGGCUUAAAGUAGGGGUUGAGAAGAUCAGGUUUCUAAAAGGUACCCCGUUUAGUGGUGGAGAGUUUGGGACCUGGGAAGAACUAGGGGACCUGCAACCCAGAUAAUAAAUGGCAGUGACUUGGACCAUCAUCCGUCGGUCCUGUCCCAGUGCUGAGGAGAGAGAAGAUUUGAAUGCAGUGUCUUUCCUGUUUCCUUAGGCUGUCAGCCUUUUCUCCUUCUCGUACAGAACUGAUCUUCUCACGCGGCCACCCAGUUUCUCAUGGGGAGACCUACAACUGAAACCCAGCUCCUGCAGCGGGGAGAGCUCGCCGUGCCUACUGUCGCAGUAGUGGAGCACACUCAACAGCUCCAGGGGGGCCCUAGAUGCACUGAGCCCAAAUCAAAUUCCUGGCAACGCCAAAUGCUGAUUUCAUUCCGCCUCCAAGACACGCUGAAUGAGCCCACUCCUUCUUCCAUGCUGCAGUAAUUUUUUUAAAAAGACAUUUGAACAUGGGUCCUGUACAAUUCCACUUGACCCAUGAGCCUCUCUCAUUCUUUGUGGGCACCUUCUCCAUCAGUUUCUUUCACCCAGGAACUAGCUCUCCAGUGAGGGGUCCUUUCUUGGAUUGACGACCAUUAAAGGGAAGUAGAUGUGCUGACAGGUAAGAUCCGGGGCAGGAUAUUUGCUGGGACGCUUUGGCCUCUGGGAAGUCAAUGCAGGAAUACUUCAGUUUCUGAAGAUUAAAUUGGGUUUUACUAAUGGCUUGAAUUUCCUAUGGGCAGAGAGAGUGGAAAGUAAUACAAGGAAAGGAGAUUUCAAUCCAACACUUGAUAGACUCCCCCAGAAGACUGAGCCCCAGAUGGUGCCUCUGUGCCCAGGUGUGCUGCUGUUGAAACCAUAAUCAGGCCCCCUCCCUGCUGAGUUAGCAAGAAGGUGUUUUUUAAUCUAAUGCAAGUGUAAUUAAAUCCUUUUUCAUCUUGAGGAGAACCGUUUGCUUGGAGGGUUCUCACAGAGCAAAAAUUCUCUUAGUUUGCUGUUGAACUCUGCCAUUUUGCCAAUCUGAUCUCGAGUGUGGGCUUCACCUCUCCGAGCCUCAAUCUGCUCAGUUAUAAAAUGGCACUUGGUCCUGUUUGCUUGGUAGAAUCCCUGUUGUGUGGACACCCUUCCAGCUCCUUUUCACCUGGUCAGCCCUGACUCUAGCCGGAAAAAUUAUCUGUGACAUUAGUUCUUUGGAAGAGUCCCCGGACUUCCUGACCCCACAGACUAGAAUAGAUCCCCACAGAGGUGCUGCCACAGAUCAUCAUAUCUUCCUUCUUGUAGGACUCCUGAUACCUCGGGCUGUGUGCCUAGUUCUCCAUCCCUUCAGGACUGCAGGGACUAUGAGAGGAGGAAGAAUACCCACCCUGUCUCCUGCCUCGUCCAGUGUCUGGAACCCACUUAUUUUUGCCAAUUGAUAUCCUUCCCUUGCCUGCUGCAGAGAACCGCUGGCUUCCAUAAAUCACCUUCCAAAGUCACAGGUGAAGGCCAUGUUAACCCCUGCUUUGAUGGAAGCUUCUGUGGCAACAACGGUACCAGCACUACUGACUCAGAGAGAAAGCGGGUCCUUCACUAGAGGCAGAAGAGGCGGAGGCGCUCUGCGGAAUCACCCACCAACGAGCCUAUAAAGGAAUCUGAAAACAGCUGGUGUUAUCAUGCCGAAACCCCAUGGGCUCAGGAAGGAUUCAACUACAGCUCCUCGGACUGAGCUCAUUUCUCACCCUGUCUCGUUAGGAGUGGUCAUCAGCGCCUGCAGCCGGAGCCUAUCAUCCGCUCACACCUCCCGCUCACAGGUGACAGCCCCGCUGGCCGCUCCAUCCCGCGCCCGAUGUCAAUUUCUCGCAGACAAACAGUGGGGCUUUUUCUAAGAAACGAAACAUGUGCUGUUUGUUCAACCAAUAUUUACUGAGCACCCUGCUGCAUGCAUCCCUGUGUGCUAGGUGCUUUGGGGAAGAGAAUGAACAGUCCUAUAAUGUGCUAAGUAUGACAUUAGAUACUUCUUGCACAUUAUCCUAUUAUUAUCAUUACUGUUGCUGCUAAUGUUGUUAUUAUUUAAGGCUACCUUGAAUUGAGCAUUAAUGGCCAUACCAAAUUUUUAUCAGGCACUUUGCAGUUCUUAGGUAAUGAUGAUGAUAAUGAUUAUACUCCCACCCUCCAAAGCUCAUGCCCACCCAGAAUCUCAGAAUUUGAUCUCAUUUGGAAAUAGGGUCUUUGUAUCUGUAAUCAAGUUAAGAUGAGGUCAUACUGGAUUAGGGUGAGCCCAGACUCACUCAGUGGCACCCUCGUAACAAGAGAGAAAUGUGGACACAUAUGCAGAGAAGACAAUGCCACACGAAGGCGAAGACACAAAAGGAGAACAUCCUAUGGAGACAGGCAGAGGAUGAAGGGACGCAUCUAUGAGCCAAAGGACAGCAAGGACUGCCGGCAACCACCAGAAGCUGGCAGAAGCGAGAAAGGAUUCUUCCCAGAGCCUCUGAAGGGAACAUGGCCAUGUGAUCACCUUGACUUUGGACUUCCGGCCUCCAGAACUAUGAAAGAACCAAUUCCUGUUUUUUAAGCCACCUAGUUUGUAGUAACCAGUUACAGCAGCCCUAGGCGAUGUAUAUAAUGACGUUAGUUACUCUUUCUUCACGACUUUCUGUGGACAGGACUAUAUGAGAAUUUCACAUGAUUAUCUCCUUUAAUUCUCACAUUCGAUCUAAAAGGUAGUUAUGCCGACCCCCUUUUGUGGAUGAGGAAAGAACACACUCAGAGAAGUGGAUCGGCUUGCCUAACACUCCCAGAUGACUGAAUUUUCUGCACCAGGCAGUCUAAACGGUGUUUGCCUUAAGCCCAACCCUGGACACCUAUCCAAACAGAAUUCCCAGCUCAGCUCUUCAUGAACGAGCAGAGAGAUUCAGGUACAAUCUGACAGGUACAAAUUGGGCAGGUCUUAGAAUCCCAGCAAUGUGACCUUAAACAAGUUGUUUAAGCUCUCUAGGACCUCAAUUCCCUGAUCUACAAAAUGGUGAAAAUAGCAUCUAUCUUACAGUAUUACUGUAAUGACUAAUGAGAUAGCAUGACAUUUAUGGAACAUAAUGUAAUAUAUAGCAGUUGUUAUUAUUUAUAUUAUUAUUCAACCUCAAAUGAAUGUGCCCUUACCCAUUUUGUCUUUGUGAUGUCCCAGUUUUUCUCCUUGAUACCCACUGUUUCAUCUUAUGAGAUGCCUUUGCCCCUCAUCUCUGCAUAUGAUCCAACCCUACCUAUGACCCAAGGCCAAGUUCAAGAACCGACUUGUCCAGGGACCCUCCCGAAUCUCUCCUGGAAAGGCCUUUCCCUCGUCUUUCAAGUCAGGGCCAUUUACAAGCACUUUCCUUAAAUGGCCCUGCCCUUCCUGUCUUAGGUUAUUCCCUUGAUCUAGGUAAUGGCUGGAGAUUUGUCUUUACGUUUUAAGUAAGAUGUCCUUGAACUACUCAAUUUCCCAGCAUGGAGAAGUCUCAUAGACUCAGUCUGGGGUACCCCUCCGACACAGCCCCUGCACACAGGUACAUUCUCUCUGUGUCUUUCUCCUUGCUGACUUUGACUUUUCUUUGUUUUUCUCAUGGCUUUGUGCAAGAUCCAUUCCCCUCCAGAAGGCAAGGGGCAGAUCGCAUAUGGCACAUCAUUCUGCCCAUCAUCCUCCAUCCCCAUAUCGCCUCUUCCUCAAGCCUUUCUGCAGCUCCGAACACUCAGUCUCUAUGUCAAGCAGACUUACCAAGUAUUUCCUCAAAUAAUAGUAGUUGCAUGCUCAGAGGAAAUCUGUCAGUCACUAAGACUUAUUUACAAAUUUAUCACCAUUUACUAUGUUCUGAGCACCAUUGCAAAUAUUUUACAUGGAUUAACUAGUUCUACCUUCGUAAUAGCCAUAUAUAUCUGUUACUGUUCUUUUUUACAGUUGGGAAAACUAAUGUGCCCGCCACAUUUAAGGCUUGUGAGAAUGCAGUGAGAUAAUGCAGAUAGAGUUUACAGGUAAACCUUGCCGUCAGGCAAACAGCAAGCAUUAGCUGCAUAUCUUGGAAGGUGAUAAGCAACUUGGAAGGAGAAGUACACUAUGAAAUACCACCCAAAGCUGCCUUAAAAUUAAAUGGUAACUUGAUUACGGUGACGGUUGACAACUCUGGAAAUUUACUACAAAUUAUUGAAUUAUACACUCAAAAUGGGUAAAUUUUAUAGCAUGUAAAUUAUAUCUUAAUAGAGCUGUUAAAAACAAUAGGAUGGAGAGAAUAAAGGGAGAAAGUGGCAUUCAAGUUGCUAUGAGCCAGGCCAUUUUAUUGACAAGGGUCAACAGGCACAAACCUGAAGCCUGUGAGAUUUAGAGUCCAUGAUUGCUGGGGAGGUUGGUGGUGGGGAGGGGAUAUGAGGUUCAAAAUACACACAAAUGUGAUGUGUAUCAUCAACAUCGUUACUGAAUUAAAUUUCUCUAAAAUGUAAAUACGUCAGUUAUGUCAAUGUAGCUCCACCUUAAGUCUUCAGGAAACAUAUUUAAUGCAGAGUGUGAAGCUAUUUGAUAUGGUUUCCCAAAGCAAGACUGUCCAGGGUCUAUAAAACCUUAAAAUGCCCUUAGUUUUGAACACUGGCCCUGUCUCCAUAUCCAUGAAUUCCUCAGGCUUAGUGCAGAGGUCAGCAAACUUUUUCUGUAAACGUCCAGAUUGUAAACACAUUGGGCUUUGUAGGCCAUUGGGUCUUGAUUGCAACUAUUCAACUCUGCCAUUGUAGCCUGAAAGCAGCCAUAGAGAAUAUGUCAGUGAAAGGGUGUGGCUCUACUCCAAUAAAAUUACUUAGGAAAAUAAGCAUCUGGCCAGAUUUGGCCCACAGGUUGCAGUUUGCUGACCCCUGGCUUAGCGGUGGGGACGUUAUGCAGGCUUCCAGAAAUUGGAGGUCUGGUUUCAUGACUAACAUAUCCCAUGAAUUUAGCCAAAUCACUUCUUUGGACUUGGUUCUCUUAAUUCUGGUGCUAUCAGGAAGUAAGGGGAGGUUAUUGUACAUCAGUGCAUUUCCUUAGAAACCCAGAAAAUUCCAAAUCGUCAGGCUUCAGAGACAGAACAAGGCAGCUGGGGGGCUGGCUACCUCACUUACUCUCUUUUUUGCUCCAUCUCCGUCCUCUCCUGCCCCCAACAUGUCCUCUUUUGUCUGGGCCACAGCGCAUGAGGCUGCCCCUGCCACAGUGUCAGGGGCCUUUCCAGCGCCAGAACCCCACUGGGCCACCUCUCCUUGAAUCAGAGCCUGGACCACAGGUCUCUGUGGAGCCUAAGGCCCCAUUGCCCUCCAUUCAAGGGUCUGCAUUGUUUAUUCCAGUCUUUCUUUCAUUGGAUUUGGAGAAAGAACAAAGGACGAGAUUUAGUCCAAGACACAGAUGUUUAAGAAAUCAUAGCUAAGUCUUUCUGGGUUGUGUUGUCCCAUAGGCCAACAGGCCCUAAGGCCAAGCAGAGAAAAUAUGGGAAUCUAGCAAGAUGAAGGGGCUGCUGUUAUCAGGUUGUGCUCUCUCUCACAUAAACUUCCUAAGCUUUAGUUUCUUCACCUAUAAAAUGGGGAUAAUAAUUGCUUCUGUAAGUGAGUAUGCGAAAGAGGAGAAAGCAGCAUUAUAAUCAACCCUGGGAGACACAGUAGAGUAGACCCUCACUACAUAGCUGCUGCUUUUACUGCUAUAAAGAUAACGCUGUCUGUCCUGUUUGGGUGCUGUAAUUUUUAUCAAUUUGAAGCAAUUUCAUUAAACAUGCAUUGAGCGUUGACUACGUACCUGAAAUGUCUCUGAGAAGCAUUCAGUCCUGGACACGUGUCUGAGUUCUGUAACUGGUGUUAUUAUUAUCAUCCUAAGUCUGGUGGCUCAGCUCCAGAGAGCUGGGCCAACCCUAAACAAAACAAUCCGACUUAGAGAUUCUUGGCAGGCAGGCAGGCAGAGCCAGAGCCCAGCAACGAAGGUAACACAGCUCUAAAUAGAUAGCUAGGGGACUUUUUUUUUUUCUAUAUUAAACUAUUGAUUUUUCAUAAACUCAGAGCACAAAAGGCCAGUGAAAACAAUCGAGUCCCAGAGCAGAAUGCCAAAAAAAAUGAGAUAGCUCUUUGUCCCUUGUUGGCCGCUUUCAUGAAGCGACUUCCUUUUUUUUUUGAGAUAAAACUCCUUCACUUCUAGGAAGUAAAUGGAAGGAAGGAAGGGAGGAAGGGAAGCAGGAAGCUUCCAGGGAGAUUUUGAGCAAGUUCAUAAGUCUCUCUGGGUCUUAAUCAGUCUCUCUUUCAAGUAUGAUUAAUUUAAAUAAAAUUUACAUUCAAUAAAAUUCACCUUUUGUAGGUAUAGAGUUUGCUGAGUUUUGACACAUACUCACGUAAACACCCCUGCCAUCAAGAUACAGAGAUUUCCUUCACCCUAGGGACCCUCUGUAUCCCAACCCUCUGGGCCAGGCAACUCCCGAUCUGAUUUCCGUUGUCAUCAUGUUGAUUCCAGAACAUCCCAUAAAUGGAGUCCUACAGUGCAUAGCUAUUUGUAUCUGACUGUUUUUACUUAGCACCAUGCUUUUGAAAUCCCUUCAUGUUGUUGCUUAUAUCAGUAGUUUGCCCUUUAUUCAUCACUGAGUAGCAUUUCACUGUGCGGCUAUGUCACAGUUUGUUUACCCAUUCACUAGUUGAUGGAUAAAAUUUGGGCUGUUUCCAGUUUGCGGGAAUCAUGAA